This is a long non-coding RNA of Homarus americanus (American lobster), 5560 nucleotides long. RefSeq lists it as uncharacterized. The record is from RefSeq and is a predicted model, not a curated record. The transcript has 4 exons. NCBI's taxonomy places the organism in Eukaryota, Metazoa, Arthropoda, Malacostraca, Decapoda, Nephropidae.
CGUCGUUUUCGAGGUGGUACAAAUAGUGGGUCUUGCUCCAGGUGUGCCAACAGCUGAUGACAACAACAACACUCCACCAAGAGCAGCGGUAAGUGCCACUCUCUCGGCGCCAGAGACACACACUUGUCUCCUUCAUUGUCGAGAAAUAAGCAAUCAUUCAAGAUAAACGACAUGAGCCCAGUAGCGUGGAGAAGAAAAAGAGGACUUGGGGAGAAAUUAGGGCGGCAUUCUACUCCAUGGAUCCUGUACAGAAACCCCACGCCAAAAAAAAGAAAAAAAAAGAUAGUGGCAUCAACAUCCUUGACAGAUUUCCUACUAUAAAAGUUGUGUCAGGGAGAUGGUCACAAUCCAGGUGGGAAACAAUGACAUCUUGAACAAUUGACACAUUCUGAGGGGGUGACACAAGACCUCUCUGGGUUAUGACCAUGGGUUGGUGCCAGUGAUGCUAACAAUGAAGUAAGCAGCACUAACAGCAUCCUCUAAGGAAAGGCGGUCCAUUGAGCAGACAUUAUACAAGACAGUCAUCAGAGUAUGAGUCUAUAUGUAGAUAUUGGUCAAGUUGAAGGAACUUUUAUUGUGGUACUUGGAUCUCUAUAUCACAGAGAAGGUCAAAUUCGACCCGUUAAUGUAUAGAAACUCGCCGAUGGAACUUGGUUCAGCUAUACAGUGGUGAGUCACCUCUGGUCCACUACAGGAUGAAGACAGUCUUGCUUGAUACUUUGUUUUUUAUAAGAAGUGUGUAUUAAAAAUUAGUACUGUACUGUACAUGAGCAUGUAAGGCUAUUUUGAUGAGUGCAUGUGAGGCUGUUUUGACAUCACACCUAUUAUGGUGGUGUUUCACCCAUCGUGUAUCCAGGUCAUGAAGAUUGGUGUAAUUUACAAAUCUGUUGAACCACCAGUUGUUGGCCAUGCAUGUCUCUCCAGAUGUAGCCCCCCCCCCCCUCUUGCUGUUGUAAAUCACUCCAUAAACAUUUGCCUUUUCUUGGAUGGUUGCAUGUGACACUGCGUUUGGUCGUCAGUCCACAUGGAUAAUAAUUUAUCCACCAUCUCCAUUUUGUGGUCUCUGGCACUUGAUACACUUGUUGAAGUCACUGAGGGUCAAAGACUUGCCACUUAUCCUGAAUUUUUCUGUAUUCUUGCUAAUUGUAGCCAGAGAAGAUGCACAAAGUUUAAAACUUUUCUAAUUUCAGUUGGACUGUGCUCACUCCUUGUGUCCCUUAAUAAUAUGUGGUUUCUGCUACAAACUCAUGGCUUUGCAAACUUUUUUCACCACUGGCAUGCUACUAAGUCCAGAACAAGCAGGUAGCUUUCCACUCAUGUUCUCUGAGGUUGAUUCAUUCGUGUGAAAUGAAAAAGAACUCUCACUUAUAGACUGCACCAUCAAGCGAAAAUGUGUCUUAGUAUAUCCUCAAUGGCUGAAUGUUGUCGCAACACAGCUUAUAGUAGUGGCCACAGGAAAUUUAAAUGCAGUGUGCAGAAUAUCAUUUGUUGUAAGUUAAAAUGGGACUUCAUUUUGUGGGACUUGCUAUAUAUUUGAAAUACUGUAAGCUGAUAAGUGGUGAAAUGGUAAAAUUAAAAACAUUUCAAUUUACCUGCCGGUACCUACCUAAUUUACCUAGUGGCCAACCCACCCAGAGAAGACCAUGCUGUGGGAAGGAGGCCAGUGACCUGUGUAGGAUAUCUCCAUUAUUCUUGACAGUCUUUUCAAGACUAUUUUGAAGCCCAGUACUGCUCUUAGUUCCUCAGCUUGGGCUGGUGGACUGUUCCAUAGUUCUACCACCCUCUGUGUGAAGAAGUACAGUAUUUCUUUAUACCGGGUAUUCAUCCUGCAUGGCACCUUGAUGAGCUUGGUGGUGUGUGAUACCCCCAAAUUUAUCUGGGUUUAUGUCUUUUAUCCUUUCAAGAUUUUGAAGGUUUCAAUUAGAUCCACCCUAUUGUGUCUUACCUGAAGAGUUGUUAGUACUAAAGCCCUCAGUCUACUUGGGUGAUUAAAAUAGUUCAGGAAUACAGUAAUCAUUUAUACUGUACUCUGUCUUGCAUCUUAUAUAGGGAAGUUAUGCCCAAGUAAAUAAGUGUUAGAAAUACUGUAAGUGUUAGGGUCGAGGAACUACCGAGAACAUUCAUCCAUUUAUACACCAUUGUUGACAUAUUGAGCUGCCUUAAUAGCCUGACCCCCUACAAGGGUUACAGUCGAGACCACCGAGAGAGAGAAGGCCUGUCAGCCUGCUUGUGGUGUCAUCAUUUGUGGUUACACCGAGACUACUCAUGUAGCAGAAUAUCACUGCUGCACCGUUAGUUAUUUGUGAUUUAACAUACUACAGUACUAUGUACUUGGUACUGAUUGUGCAGAUUUUAAGACAUUGUACUAUUGUCUGGAUAUAUUUAUUCAGUUCCAACUGAACUGCAUUAUAUUAUUAUGUGUGUGAAGAGAGAGGGAGAGAGAGCGACUACAAAUGAAAUACACCAUGGCUAAUGAGAUUUCAAUUUAUUUGCAAUAUAGACAUGAACAAAAUUUCAGAAUAAGCUGCAAGAAAUUUUUGAAAUGAAAAUGUUUACAUAUACUGUAUUUAGUUGAAUGUCUGAAUUGUUCUCUUUUUCCCAGAGUACCUUCUAUAUUCUCUGGAAUUAUUUAAUCUGCUACAAAAAGUAUUUAACAGUGCAUUAGUAGAGGCUCACACCAGCAUUUUUCAACCUUUUCUGUGCUAUGUCUACCAUUACAAAAGUCUUCCAGAAACAGAGCAUCAUCAUAUGCUGGAGCAUUUAGGGUGACAUCCAUUACCAAAUUUUGCUGGUUACUGACUUUACAAAAUUGGGAUGCUGCUUUAAAAUUUGUCACCAACAAUAUACUGUACAGUAUAAUUGUACAUAUAACAUGUGGGUACAAUAGAGAGCCUUGGCUGAUUCUUUUAAUGUAGUUGUGUGUUUCUGGUAAUUCAUCAACACUGUCUUCACAAAAUACAUUUUUUUUAUAAGACAGCAAUAACAACAGUAACCAGUUAAGUAAGUUAUUAAUGGAAGAACAUCCAAACAUUUUUCAGUAUCUUUCCAUUUCACACCUGUGGUUAUUUUAUGAUUUUAUGCAGAUCUCCAUAUCUCCACAAUUUUCUUCCUCAAUUAUUUUCAAAUUAACACACGGGUUAUUUUGAUUUUGCUUCAAUGGAGACAACAUUCUGAUUUUCUUUUCACAUUCAAAUACUGUAGUACAGUAAUUGUUGUACCGAUAUGUUGACGAUGCUGCAGAACCUGUCUGAAACUUCCCUGUUAAAACAUAGUCCAUUUUUAUCAUUGCAUAUGAGUUAUAUGUUUUAAGGCUGUACUAGUUUCUUUGAUAAGCUUUCCAGGGAUUUAUUUCAUAUCAUUCCAUAGUUUUAACCAGCUGUAGAAACUGUAGAGAAAUUUACAUUAAUCAUCAUUUACAUCAUUAGUCAAUCAAGUGGCAUGUGUGUUGUUCAGUCGACAACCUUUAAAUGGCGAGUUUACAUUAAAUACAGUCUACCAGACAUAAAAGAUCUUUAUAUAGUCAGCAACUUCUGCAAAGAAGGGCAAGCAGUGUUCUUUCUAAUGGGUAAUAAAGCUUGAAUAAUAUACUUAUUGAAAAAUUUAAGCACUUAAUUUAAAUUUUGCCUCUCAAGGUUAGAGGGAGAUAGGACCUCAGGAACAACUUAUACGAGUGUUUCAAAUAUGAAUUCGUAUCUAAAAUAUUAAUUUGUGUAGUGGCAAAUGGAGCUUCUGUGACCUCUGUCACUGGACCAUAAUUGCCAUUAAAACAACUGUGAGGACAAACUUUUUCGGAGGGAGAAUUGUGAACUCUUGGAACAAUCUGCCAGAGAGCAUUGUGAUGGCACCGAGUGUAAGCUCAUUCAAGGCCAGACUUGACCAACACUGGAGCAGGUUCUAAUAAAUUCAGGAGUCAUUGCUUGCCCAGUAUCUGCCAACAGUGCGUAUCAAAGAUGUGACUGACUGCCCAAGCGGUAUAUGAGCCGACCAGUGGCGAAGAGAAUAAAAGUAAAAGUGAGAAUUUCAUGGGUUUAUCUGUGUCUUUCUGACCUAGCCAGCUGUUCCUCACACAAUUCAACAUACUGUAGGUAUGUACAAAAUCAUACAUGAAAAAAAAGAGGCUUUGAACUUUGUGCUGGAUGUGGAUAAACAGUUGACAACUUUGAUGGUGCAGAAAAAAUAUAAUGCUUUCUUAUUGAUUGCAUUAUUUUAUGUUGAAACUCAUACAAUAUUACUCUAAAACCUAUCUUUUCUAAACCACCUUGUUUAGAAUGUCUUACACAAUUUCAGCUUUCAUACAUUUAGCAGAAUUUAUAUGGAUAAUAUCUUUUAUUUGAAUAUAACACUGCUCAGCCUAAAAACAAAAUCAGUUGUAACUGCCUCAAAACUUUCAAAUGCUGAGCCAACAACAUUUCCUCCUUUAUACUCAAACUUAGGCUUCAGAUGAAUUUUGUCUAACCUUAAUAUAACUGUCUUAUUAUCUGGUGAUAAGAUGUCAAACUUCUGCUUCAUAUUACAGGGUACAUUUUGUUUGACAAAGUAGUACUGUAACUGUUAAUGGCUGAGUAACUAUGGAUGAUUAAGUAUUUUGUAUUUCAUAGUACAAGUAUAGGCAGUCUGUAACCUGGAGGGGAGAAAUUAUAUAAUAAAGGAAAAUUAUCAUUAGCUGUGAUGGAUAUUGUAACCUGUUUAAAGUCAUUAAGUAGAUCUGUUCAGUUACAAAUGUCAGGGUGUGCAGAUGAUUAAAUGACUCGGUCUACAGAACUGUCAAAAAGAAAUAACUAAGUGUAACAGUAAUUACUCUGCUUGGGUUAGAUACAUGUUCUUCAAUGUCCAACUGAUGCAAGUUACAGAGAAGCCUUUCAAGAACAUUGGUGUCAAUCACAGACAAAAGGAUCUUAUAGGUUCCUAUGCUGUGUACUUCGACAUCAUUUGUAAAUACUUGUAUUGCACGACUAUAGUCAGUAGCCAAAGACAACACUACCUUGGGAUGUGGAAAUUAACAGUGCUACAUACUGUAUAAGAAAUGAUUUCUCACAUCUGAUAACAGUUCAAUACCUUGUGUCCAGAAAGAGUUUAAAAUUCCCUCCGUUGCCUGUAUUGCAGAUCAUCUUCAACACUUUUUUCCUUUGUAGAUUGGAGUGCAGACUCCUCCAGCUGAAUGCAUCUUGACUCUGGCGACAACUAUCUAGAACUUGUUGAUGCAGACAGAUAAGAGGGAGAGAGGGAAGAUGAGAAUGAAUUGCACCAUUGUGAAGGCUGGGCACCUUCAGCUUGGCUGUAAUUCUAGUGCUGGUCCUCUCAUCAAGGUAUUUUGUGUCCCACCUGAUGUCCAUAGGAUGGAAGUGCAGCUAUACAUAAUUAUAACAUAAAUAUUUAUAAUAAUGCAAAUAAUGAUACCAUAUACAGUAUGUGAACUGAACAAAAUACAGCUGCUCCUCAACUUACGAUGGGGUUAGGGACCCAAAUCAAGGUUGUAAGUCGAAAAUGCUUAAAUAAUACAUAGAAAAUCUAAAAUGGGUGUCUCUUUUUCUUCUCAGCACCAUAAAACUCUCACUUUUAA